This 468-nucleotide ribosomal RNA is filed under the name uncultured bacterium. RNAcentral's name for it is "partial 16S ribosomal RNA". It matches the Rfam family "Bacterial small subunit ribosomal RNA", at positions 28 to 507 of the family's 1533-position model. The record is from RNAcentral.
GACGAACGCUGGCGGCGUGCUUAACACAUGCAAGUCGAACGGAAAGGCCCUGCUUUUGUGGGGUGCUCGAGUGGCGAACGGGUGAGUAACACGUGAGUAACCUGCCCUUGACUUUGGGAUAACUUCAGGAAACUGGGGCGAUAACCGAGUAGAAUCUCCUGCUCCAUGUUGGGGGUUGGAAAGUUUCGGCUGUUGGGGAUGGACUCGCGGCUUAUCAGCUUGUUGGGGGGGUAGUGGCUUACCAAGGCUUUGACGGGUAGCCGGCCUGAGAGGGUGACCGGCCACAUUGGGACUGAGAUACGGCCCAGACUCCUACGGGAGGCAGCAGCGGGGAAUAUUGCACAAUGGGCGGAAGCCUGAUGCAGCAACGCCGCGUGCGGGAUGACGGCCUUCGGGUUGUAAACCGCUUUCGCCUGUGACGAAGCGUGAGUGACGGUAAUGGGUAAAGAAGCACCGGCUAACUACGUG